UGAAGGUCUGAUAGAAAUCUCCACUAAACC
This 30-nucleotide non-coding RNA is filed under the name Mus musculus (house mouse). The record is from RNAcentral. Lineage: Eukaryota; Metazoa; Chordata; Mammalia; Rodentia; Muridae.